RNAcentral lists this ribosomal RNA (253 nucleotides) under uncultured bacterium. Its description in RNAcentral is "partial 16S ribosomal RNA". It matches the Rfam family "Bacterial small subunit ribosomal RNA", at positions 524 to 776 of the family's 1533-position model. The record is from RNAcentral.
UACGUAGGGGGCAAGCGUUGUCCGGAAUCAUUGGGCGUAAAGAGCGCGUAGGCGGCCCUGUAAGUCCGCUGUGAAAGUCAAGGGCUCAACCCUUGAAUGCCGGUGGAUACUGCAGGGCUAGAGUCCGGAAGAGGCGAGUGGAAUUCCUGGUGUAGCGGCGAAAUGCGCAGAUAUCGAGAGGAACACCUGCGGCGAAGGCGGGUUGCUGGGCUGACACUGACGCUGAUGCGCGAAAGCCAGGGGAGCGAACGGG